AUACGUAGGGGGCGAGCGUUGUCCGGAAUGAUUGGGCGUAAAGGGCGCGUAGGCGGCGCGGUAAGUCUGGAGUGAAAGUCCUGCUUUCAAGGUGGGAAUUGCUUUGGAUACUGCCGCGCUUGAGUGCAGGAGAGGUUAUCGGAAUUCCCGGUGUAGCGGUGAAAUGCGUAGAGAUCGGGAGGAACACCAGUGGCGAAGGCGGGUAACUGGACUGCAACUGACGCUGAGGCGCGAAAGUGUGGGGAGCAAACAGGAUGAGAUGACCUGGUAGGCCACACUGUAAACGAUGAAUGCUAGGUGUAAGAGGUAUCGACCCCUUUUGUGCCGGAGUCAACACAAUAAGCACUCCGCCUGGGGAGUACGGCCGCAAGGUUGAAACUCAAAGGAAUUGACGGGG
RNAcentral lists this ribosomal RNA (397 nucleotides) under uncultured bacterium. RNAcentral describes it as "partial 16S ribosomal RNA". It matches the Rfam family "Bacterial small subunit ribosomal RNA", at positions 523 to 918 of the family's 1533-position model. The record is from RNAcentral.